AACACCUGAUGAGAGUGUGUUUCUAAAUAUGGAGGGUCUGAAGACUUUGCUUCUGGGUUAAGCUGACUGCAGCCACCAGAGAGCCCAGCUCUCAGCAAAGAAAAGGUAAGUUAAACUAAGUAGAGUCCCUCCAGAAUGGAAGGAUUGAACCAGUGCCCUAGUAGGUCCCAACUGACUCAAUACCGAAAAAAAAAAAAAAAAAUUACAAGAGAUUCAGAAUGAACGCUGAGUUGUGAAAGCCAAAGGCUAACCAAAUAGCCUCAGGACUUACUGGAACCCGGCUCUCAAAUUUUGCUUCAAGCACUUGUCCUUGAGUUUGCACUACAGGUAUCACUGACUUUCUUUGAGAACUAGAAGCAACUAAGAAAUUAAGUCAAUGGAAAUUAAGUAAACAUCACCUGAGGGAAAGGGAAGAUUCGAAAUAAAUAAGAUACAUUCGGUACAGAAUCCAGAAGGAAUCUUGUGUGAUCUCUCCUGCACGAGAAGUCGGCAUUUGGAAACCACUGGAGGUGGGGAUCAAAGCCGCUCCCUGUCCAGCCACCUGCCCAGAAACUGCCCGAGCACCGGCCCAGCACCGCCGGGGCAGGUGGGCAUGUGUCCUUCCCCAACACAACGGGCGCUCCGAGGGACCAAGCUGUGGUGGCGGGCUCCCGGUGCGUCGCCGGGCAGCCAAGGGAGCGCCCUCUGCCACCUCCACCCAGCCCAGCCCCAGAGCCUGCCGCCCGGCCUCGAAGGAUGCCCGGGUCACCUGAGCCACCGCGUCCUGACAGCGGACAGAGGGUGUGCCAGUGGGCUCCCGGGCCGGCGCGCUGGGGAUCCUGGUGCCUGAGCGAUCGGCGGGAGACUGCGCCCUGGCAGCCCGGCGGCCAGCCUCCAGCCCUCCGCAGCCCGCCCAGGAACACUACUUAUUUUAAAACAGAAGAGAAGGCCAAAAAGCACAUGAAAAGAUGCUCAACAUUGCUAAUUUUUAGAGAAAUGCAAAUCAAGUCUACAAUGAAGUAUCACCUCACACCAGUCAAAAUGACCAUCAUUUAAAAGUUUACAAAUAACAAAUAUUGGAGAAGGUGAGGAGAAAGGGGGACCCUCCUGGGGUACAACUGCACUCUUCACAUGCUAGCAAGGUUAUCCUCAAAAUUCCUCAAGGUAGGCUUCAGCAGUA
RNAcentral lists this long non-coding RNA (1159 nucleotides) under Cervus hanglu yarkandensis (Yarkand deer). RNAcentral describes it as "lncRNA (ENSCHYG00000026907.1)". Lineage: Eukaryota; Metazoa; Chordata; Mammalia; Artiodactyla; Cervidae. The record is from RNAcentral.